GGAGUAGCAGGUACCCAUAAAUUUUCCCUCUUAGAUGUGAGGUGCUUCAAAAGAGAUAUACAGCUCCUGGGACAUAGUGUGAGGAAAUGGAAAGGGCGGAGCAGCACUGCAAGUUCCAAGACCUCUUCACCACACUGUGGUCACAGCAUGGCCCAGCACCAUUGCCUUCUUCCAGUGGCAUCUAAGGCACAGGUAAAGAAGCUUCUACCUGUAGAAUGUCCAAGAUCCAGCACAUACACUGCUUUCCUUAUCCAGCAGUGUCUUACCCAUACAACAUCCUUCUGCCACUGAAAUCAUCUGGGUCCAAUGUCUCUUUGCUUCCCUACCAACAGAACUAUCAGCCGUGGCAAUCAUCUCUCUCCAUCAAUCCCUUUGCUACUUCCCAGCAGCAUCCAUCCAGCAGCCCUCUCCAGCACUGCACUAGCUCGCACCUCCGCUCUUCUGUGGUUGAGUAAUGUGUGUUGCUCACCAGUCUGAAGGUUGUUUGCAAGCAUGUAUAAAAUUGCACACAGGGCAUGAGGCACCUUUUGGAAGCGUUGUUUCACUCCCAGUCUGAGCCAAUAUAAUGAGGAGAAUAAUAAUAACAAAAUCAAAGGAACAGUUGUGGCUGAGGCACAUAAAACAUUUCAGCUCGUGGAAAAUGCCUACAGUCAAGGAAUGACUGCACAGCAUGUGGAAAUGAACGACUGAGGUCUGGAAUAUGGUUUGGUUUAUAUCGCCAUAGGUUUCAUACUGGAUAGCAAAAGCCUGCAAACAGAUCGAAAUAGCAGGGGAAUUUACCUAGAAAAUGCUGCCUUACAGAGCUAUGAGAACAUGGAACGUUAAAAAUUCACAGUCAAUGAGGGGUCAAGAGAGAUAUUUAACCUUUCUGGGACUGUAUGCAUAUGAAAAACUUGUGUGAGAUGGUUACAAGCUUUGAAGAAAGCUGACCCAUUUUGCUGUUUAAAAUAUUCUGAGACUAACUUGGAGACCUAUCUGAUGCCACCUAUAUAUAAUGACCUAGAUUUUAAAAACUGUUGGGAGGCAGACGUCUGGAAACCUGCCGUGAAUGUUAGCAUUUUCCAUAUAAAGAUCGCGUAUAAACUUGCAGUUUACUAAUUUUACUUAGUAAAGGCUAAAAUGCUUUAAGGACUUCUCAGUUGUAUUAUUGGGAUUGUCUUGUUUUGAAGUGGCUAACACCCAUCCUUUCCCAGGCAGAUUCCUGUCCUAAAGAAUGCUCAGGUAAGCAUAGGUCUAAAGUCAUUACUAUCUAAUAACUGUAUAGAUGUCUGUAGGCCAUAUCUUAAUAUGCUUAUUAUGUAGAUGGAUGUCACUGUCAUAAGAUUCAUGGGCACCAUUAGUGCCCGCUCCCUGAGUUAUCACAGUGACCAACAAAUGAAGCAGUGAAAAGAAUGAAUUAUUUUGCCAAGAUGAAACACUCAGAAUAAAACAGGCAUGUGAUGAUCAGGAUGAAGCAAUUUAGAGGAUGGCUUCCCCUCUCCUCAGAUUAACAAGCUUCAGUCCACAGGUUUGUCUUCCCAGCUAUAUACUCUGGGACUCACUCAACCAUCCCAAGCAUGGACUAUGUGAAGUGGCAUUUCUAGAGUUCAGCAGGCAGGCUGCCAAAAGAAUCUCCUCUACUCCUCUUUUAACAUGAAUUUCUAUGAGUUGGGGAAACAAAAUUAAGCAGUUGUAUAAGAGGGAAUUGCUGGCAGAAAAUAUUGGUUUUGGGGAAAAAAGGAAACUGAAAUGUCUCAUUUUGGAUUUUAAAUAGGAAAAAUAUCCCAGAGCCUCUUAAGGCUCAUGGAUCCAGAGAUCAGUAGAAACAAUAAGUGGUAAGCCUUAAAAAAAUAAAUAAACUGGGGGGGGGGGGAAAUUUGUAAAAAUAAGCAAAAGCAAGUUAAAGAGUAAUUAGUGAGCUAAAUAAUACUGAACUCCAAAAAAUAUUUUGGCUGACAGCAAAGGGACACAAAUAUGUUUUUAGUGGAAGCCGACCAAAGAUAACUAAAAGUUGGUCCAUGGGAGAAUAAUUGGCUUGAUUGUCACAGCUAAUUAAAUAUGUUUUGAGAUUAUGAAAUCAGUUGUGUGAUACUGCUGAAAUGGCUCAUAAAGCAGGCAUUUCUACAGGAUGCUAAUGAGAGUUUGCUAGGAAAAGGUUUGAUUAGAAUUUGUUCUUGAAAACCUCUCUGCACAGCUUUUGGAGACCAGUAUACACAUGGAAACAGAGGAAAGUAGAAUUAAGUAUCAGCAUUUUUCUCCCACGGUUUCAUGAAAAACUUAGUGAAUCACUCUAAUCCCCUGCAAGUCUUGCAAGUACAAUCCCUGUUGCACAAACAAGGAUGACUCCAGACACAACAAUUAUGUCUUGAGAAAUAUCAAGUUAGAUCAUCUUUCACCCGGACAAAUAAAGACCAGAAAAGAUAAAAUACUGUAAAAGUAUGUUAUCCGUUUAAGCAGAUGUAAAGGAAUAAUACAUGUUACAAUAGUAACGCUGAAAGAAGUCAGGGCUAAUCUUAAAGUGAUUUUUGUUGUGCAGAACAAUAUGCUAGCAGACGUGCGUGCUACGAAUCAGAACAUACCAGAUGCUUGUUCAGAUUAAUCUUUGCAAAGAUUAACUCUUUAUUAACACAAUAAAUUUUAAAGCUUCGGCUUCUCAGAUGAACACACUUUGAAGUACCACCUGUAAAUAUUUGCAACUCUUCUUAUUUGCUGGCUGCAGUCCUGCUAGUAUGAGAAGAUGUUCCUUGAGUCUACUUAAGUUCCGCAUCAGAGGGGACUUCCACCUCUUUUAUGCUGGCCCCGCAACAGAACACAAUGGGUUUGGACAAGGCAAGCAUCGAGGGCAUUUGAGUGGCAACUGGAGGGAUCAGAUGGAAACCCCAUGCAAAAGAAGGCCUGCAGUGGGGCAGAGGGUGCAAAGAGCCUGAGCAGAAAGCAAGCAAAAGCUGGGAAUGGAUAGAAAACCAAUGCUGCCAGACCUGAUGCUUUAACAUCAUCUGACUAACAUCCAGUAAUUUUCACUUAACUGUUCUUUCUUACAGCUGCAACACAGAGAAAUUUUGCCAAAGCCUUACAUUCUUAGCAGCACUUUUGUAGUGGAGGAUUUAAACCUCACAGAAACCAAGAUGGUACUGCUGGCAACAGAAUGAGUUUUGUACCUUUUUUUUUUUUUAACCGAAAAUGGAAAUAAACUUUUGUAGUAUAUAUUGCAAUGUCCAAAAUUGACUAGUUAUUGCCUAUCAUAUACUCCAAUUUUACUUAAGAACAUGCAGCCACUUAACCAUCUCAGAGCUUGCAAGUUCAACUUCCCAACAAUUUAUAGUUCAUGCCUUCCACAGACAUGACAAGAGUCAAUCCCAGAAGUUAAAUGAGCCGCAUCCUUUGUGAAUAUACCAGCCCCCAGACAUCUGCAGAAGGCCUGAGAAAAUAGUUAGUAGUAUGAUCCAGAAGGUCAAUAAACUGUUCCUUUCAGACCUGCAUUAUUUUGGAAUUGGAGAUAAAAGCCAGGAUGUGAGCUUUCUAAGGCCAUUACUUCUCUAUCUGUAGUUGCACAUUCAUAAACUGUCUAAACACAGUUUAAGGCUACGUAAAGUCUUCAGCUUUUUACGGUUAUUUGAUAUUUCCUAAUUACAAUUCCCCUCAGUGACAGCCUGAUUGAAAUUCCUACGAUCCCUGUUGUAGUUGUUUUGCAGGCUUCCUUUAUCUACAUAAACAUUUCCUGUUCUUCUUUCUCAUCCACCCCCACCCCCAUCCUAUAAUGGCUUCGUAUCAUCUUUUUUUCACCAUUUCUUUCACUUAAGUCCAAAUUGUUUUUCACUGGUGACAGCUCUGUCUGUGAUAUUUCUUGCUUUAGAAAUACAUCACAGCUUCUCACCAAGUGAAGAGUUUUUCUGUGUGCUAUGAAAUUCUUUAGACAGAAUGUGUAGCAUAAUGUUUAAAAUUCUUGGCUGCAUCUUAAUUUGACCAGAGCUCAAGCGCAUCUGGUUCAUUGUAUUGUUGCGAUGGCACCACUCCCUUCUGCAUGCUCAUAACAUACAGAGGAUUUGUUGCACAAGGGAAUCUCUCAAAACUAAAAGUAACUUUCUUUUACCACUACUUUUUCAAAAAAAAACCCUGCUACACUAGUAUUCCAAUCCUGCUGCAGGAGCCAUUCCACAAGCACAAGUUCUAUGUCCUACCCUUUUUUAAUCUAUUUGUGCAAUUCGUUCGUUAUUGUGCA
Cuculus canorus (common cuckoo) is the source of this 4198-nucleotide long non-coding RNA. RefSeq lists it as uncharacterized. The transcript has 3 exons. The record is from RefSeq and is a predicted model, not a curated record. Lineage: Eukaryota; Metazoa; Chordata; Aves; Cuculiformes; Cuculidae.